ACUUGCGUGAAUGGUUUUGAGUACAGUAAGCAGAUGACUUGAGUUUAACUUGUGGGUGUAGGGGAUAAGUGAAGAAUGUCCCUCACGGGACCUCGUACGCUCCUCCACUCCCAUGUCGAAAUCCGCUCCUCGCUUUUCCUUUUUACUUUUUUGGGGGCGCAGCAGUUUAACUUCCAGUAAAUCGAGCAGCACUGUCUCCUCCUUCCGCAUAGUUGUCACUUUCUGACAUUUCAGGAUCAUCCACUUCUUCCACCGCAGUUGUUUUACUCGGCGGCAUUUCACCGUUGAUGAUCGUCAACUUUUAUUUACUUUUUUAUUGCUGAACGUUCGGACAUCGCUCACAUCAUCAGAUCCAGAAUAAUUUAUUUCUGGUCUUUGCACGUUCUCACCACUGACACCACCCAACACCACCUCUCAUCAGAUCACCCACAAGACCAACUGUACUCUGAUCCAGUGAGGUCACAGAGCACAUCAGCUGUCUCUGAGCACAUGUUAAGAGCCUGAGGUCUGCGUUGUUGUUCUGGUCCACUGACAAUUUAUCCACAUAGCAUGACUUCCCCUCCUCCUCUUGUACCCGUGUUCCUGGGCCUUGGUUUCACAGUCCUGCUCUGCGCCAUCUUCUGCAAGGUCUACAGUUGCAGACGAAAGCGGAAGAGAGAGAGGGAGCAGGAGAGAGUGAGGGAGCGGGAGCGGGAGAUGGAGCUGGCGAGGGAGAGAGAGCGGGAGAGGGAGUCCUGGAGGAGCGGCGAGCAGGACUGGCAGCCACCUUCCAUUUAUUUCAUCCACUUCUCUAGAACCAUGUCCCUGCCAGAUGAGGAGGAGCACUACAGGCAGGAGCCCUCGGCGCCCCCACAGUACAGCAACGCGGUCCGCUGCGAGCCCCCGCCUGCGUACAGCGAGCUGGCGUGUAUCCCCGAUGACCAGCCCCCUCCUUACACUGUCUACAACCUCCCUGUGUAUCCAGUGUCACCUCCUUCCUACACAGAUAAAAGACACAAAGUCAAGAAACAUGUUACUUUCAACGUGUGAUUCUUGACUUUUAGUUUUAUUGCUGACUGACGUUUUAUGUCCUGGAACCUUUUCUUUCUGUUCACUUUGGACCAAUUCACUAUUCAAUGAAAAACGUUGUUUUGCAAUUGUAUCAAAAUUUUGUAUAAAAGUAUAUUGGUUUGAAUAUAGAAAAAUGUCUUUGUGUAUAUAUUAUGUGCUUCUUUUUAUAUCAUGUAGAAAUAAUUAUUGAUAUAUUUUGGAAGCAAAUUGUAAAUAACUUUCUAAGACCAGCGUGUCUGUGUUUCAUUCUUUCUUGUCUUUGGGCCACCAGAGUCCACUGUUGCACCAAAAAUGAGAUGCGCAGAUGAAGAUGGACUAAAGCACCAGGCUCACACAGUCUCUCUUUCUUCCUGUGGUCACAUUACCCCCUGCUGCUCUGUGAUAGGAGCAUGUGGUGGUGAAGCCCCUACGUUUCCCACUUGGCCGAUGCUCGCGGUGCCUGUGCUGCUCAGUUUAACUGAGUUUUUAUUACCACUCUGAGAAGGCGGUUUUAUUAUUUUACUGAUAACUGCUGACUGUGAUUUCAGGUGUGAUUGGUGAAUUAGUUGUUCUAGUCAGGAGUAUGUACAAGGAAAAUGUACAUCAAAACACACAGUUAUAAAAUAUAAUUAAGGUUUUAGUAAUUGCAUUUAAUAAGAACUCUUUUGCUUUAACCACGUUAGUGAGGUAAUGUAAUAAAAUACUGAUUAACAGCUGCUAAAACUCCCUUUGUGCCUCAACCAGUUUGCCCAGUACACAAGGUCAUGCUUUUGGUAUUUUUGGUUACAGUGAUUUAUAAGCAAAUAACAAAACAUUUAAAUCUGUUAAAGAAAGAAAACAGGAUAUUUUGAAACUUUAAAAAAAUCUUCUUAUAAUAAAAGAUACAGCUAAAAAUAACUUUUUUAACUCUCUGCCCAAAGAUGCACGUGCCACGUGAUAGACAGGCAGCAAUGUCUACAUUGCAACGCGCGCGCGUGUCUGUGUGUGUCUGUGCGCGCGCGUCUCUCCACGCCCCCCUACUUUCAUCCCACUUCUCCCAUAGGUUCGGUGUAAACGUGCCGGAGACACUGGGCCUUUAUAAGGAUCCGCCGUGUGCGCGUCGUGCGAACCUGUACGAUGCCCAGCAAGAGGAAGAAGAACAAGCGCCGCAUGCGGAGGGCGCAGGCGCAGAGGAGAGCCCUGGAGGAGCAGCACGCCAACAGCCCGCCGGUCAAAGCCAGCGCCCGGGUCGCAGCACGCACGCCUCCUGCAGCGGCUCCGAAGAAGGCCCCCAAAACGCCAGCCCCAGGGGGGGCCGGGGGGGCCACGGGGGCCGCGGGGGCCACAGGGGCCGCAGGGGCCACAGGGGACCCAGCCCGGGCCCCGCUUCUGGAGACCCCCAGGGAAGAAGCACAGCCGCCUGUGAAAGGACCCCCCGCUGAGCCAGAGGCAGAGGUGGAGGCUGCAGGAACAGCAUCAGCUGAAGCUGCUGUAGACGUGGAGCGUCUCACUCCAGGAACCGAGGUGUCGCCCCCUGCUGAGCCCCUGAUGGCGCCUGCUGCUGAACCUGAUACGGUCGAUGGUUCAGUCACAACCACUCAGGCCGAGCAGCCUCUAUGUAGUCGUAGUCAUGUCAGCGUAGCAGAGACGCAGCAGGAGAAGGAGGAAGGAGGCGUCCCGGAGGUGCAGGAGAAGGUGGAGGCACCGGUCAAAGUCGAGGCCGUGUCGGAGCCUGUGACGGGAGCAGAGGUGGCGGAAGUGCUUCCCACCGACCCGGUGGAGGCAGAACCAGUGGAGGCGCACAAACCCGGGCCUGAGCGGGCGCCUGAAGCAGAGGGGUCUGCGGGAGAAGCGCUGGUUCAACACCACGCACCUGGAGUCCCUGCUGAGCCUGACACACUCACACAGGUUUCUCCUGUCCAGUCUCUUCACAUCCCAGUGGUGCAGGAAAACAUCUCUGAGACGCUGGUGGAAAAGGCUGAAUGUGUGUCAGCAGUGAAGGACCAUGUGGCCACAGGUGACGUCCAGACGGACCCUGAGGACGUGGCCCCUACCGGACCCCAACCUGCUGCCGGACCCCAACCUGCUGCCGGACCCCAGCCUGCUGCCGGACCCCAACCCCAACCUGCUGCCGGACCCCAGCCUGCUACCGGACCCCAACCUGCUGCCGGACCCCAACCUGCUGCCGGACCCCAGCCUGCUGCCGGACCCCAACCUGCUGCCGGACCCCAACCCCAACCUGCUACCGGACCCCAGCCUGCUGCCGGACCCCAACCUGCUGCCGGACCCCAACCCCAACCUGCUACCGGACCCCAGCCUGCUACCGGACCCCAACCUGCUACCGGACCCCAACCUGCUGCCGGACCCCAACCCCAGCCUGCUACCGGACCCCAACCCCAGCCUGCUACCGGACCCCAACCCCAGCCUGCUACCGGACCCCAACCUGCUGCCGGACCACAACCUGCUACCGGACCACAACCUGCUGCCGAACUUCUGCCUGCUGUUGAACCUCAGCCUGCAGACGUCGAGCCCUCGAACGUGCUGCCCGAGGAGCCCGAGUCAGGAUCGUGCGAUGCAGCUCAGACGCAGCUCACUGUGGAGUCGGCUCAGCUCGUCUCAGCGGUAACAGACUCCACAUGUCCAGUGUGUGAACAGGUGGAACACACGCUGGCACGCUCUGACCCUGGCAGAGGAGACGGUGGCUGAAGCUACUGUGAACGGACACGUCGUUGCAGAGGUCUCCACUGAAGGCUAGAGCUGCACCAACCCACAUUCUUCAUUUUGGGGGACUCACAAACUUCACCUUGAGUCAAGCAGCGGACGUAAGACAGAACUGUCAGGAAAUUGAAGGGACAUCCACACUUUGAAGUGCCUUUCCUGUCCAGAUGUGAACCAGCUGCAGCAAGGCAGCAGAACAGACUCUUGUCAUUGGUGCCGACACGGAAACAAAGAUAGUCUUUUUUCUUCAAUAUGUAUUUCUUACAGUGAACUUAUAUUAGCAGCAGAACUUAUUGAGAAGUGGAAAUUUCUAGGAGAAGCUAAAAAGCUGUGCCUGGUCUUUGUGCACGUUCCUGGUCUCCAUAACACUUUGCUUCAUGCUGUGACGCUGUAGCAUCUGUUAAUGUGGCUUUUUUACAGCCUUCUUUUUAAUUCACAUCUCAAAAUCCCUCAGUCAGAGCAGAGCUGCACCCCAGCCCGUCUGUCGUCCAGGUCCCAGCAUCCACCAAGGGCUUCAUCACACGACUCUGAUGCCGACACACACUUUUUUAUUGUAGUUCACAUGAUGUGCAGCAGCCGUUUGUUCAGUCUGUGGUCUCAUGAAAUAAAGCUGUAACUCAUCGUGA
RNA transcript from Betta splendens (Siamese fighting fish), 4352 nucleotides. It is a transcript of the gene named skin secretory protein xP2-like, with no coding region annotated. Lineage: Eukaryota; Metazoa; Chordata; Actinopteri; Anabantiformes; Osphronemidae. The transcript has 15 exons. The record is from RefSeq and is a predicted model, not a curated record.